GCCCUUCGAUAAUUAAUUUUAAUUUCAUCCUUCAUUUAAUCAUCUAAUCUUUUAACGCACCUUGCGCUCCUUGGUAUUCCUUGGAGCAUGCCUGUUUGAGUAUCAUGAAAUCUUCAAAGUAAAUCUUUUGUUAACUCAAUUGGUUUCUACUUUGGUAUUGGAGGUCUUUGCAGCUUCACACCUGCUCCUCUUUGUUCAUUAGCUGGAUCUCAGUGUUAUGCUUGGUUCCACUCGGCGUGAUAAGUUAUCUAUCGCUGAGGACACUGUAAAAGGUGGCCAAGGUAAAUGCAGAUGAACCGCUUCUAAUAGUCCAUUGACUUGGACAAUACUUUUAUGAUCUGAUCUCAAAUCAGGUAGGACUACCCGCUGAACUUAAGC
This 378-nucleotide unclassified non-coding RNA is filed under the name plant metagenome. RNAcentral's name for it is "partial contains 5.8S ribosomal RNA, internal transcribed spacer 2, and large subunit ribosomal RNA". The stretch from base 1 to 105 matches the Rfam family "5.8S ribosomal RNA", at positions 50 to 154 of the family's 154-position model. The record is from RNAcentral.